Small nuclear RNA from Cynara cardunculus var. scolymus (artichoke), 161 nucleotides. RefSeq annotates it as U1 spliceosomal RNA. Lineage: Eukaryota; Viridiplantae; Streptophyta; Magnoliopsida; Asterales; Asteraceae. The record is from RefSeq and is a predicted model, not a curated record. The transcript has a single exon.
AUACUUACCUGGACGGGAUCAAUAAGUGAUCAAAAAGGCUCAUGGUCUAGGUUGGUGACCUCCAUUGCACACAGGAGGGGUGCCUGCCUAAGGUCGGCCCAAGUGGUCGAGCCUACGUCAUAAUUUGUGACAGUGGGGGCCAACGUUCGCGCGGCCCUUUC